This 693-nucleotide ribosomal RNA is filed under the name uncultured bacterium. RNAcentral's name for it is "bacterial SSU rRNA". It matches the Rfam family "Bacterial small subunit ribosomal RNA", at positions 32 to 715 of the family's 1533-position model. The record is from RNAcentral.
AACGCUAGCUACAGGCUUAACACAUGCAAGUCGAGGGGCAGCAUGAACUUAGCUUGCUAAGUUUGAUGGCGACCGGCGCACGGGUGAGUAACACGUAUCCAACCUGCCGAUGACUCGGGGAUAACCUUUCGAAAGAAAGAUUAAUACCCGAUGGCAUAGUUCUUCCGCAUGGUGGAACUAUUAAAGAAUUUCGGUCAUCGAUGGGGAUGCGUUCCAUUAGGUUGUUGGCGGGGUAACGGCCCACCAAGCCUUCGAUGGAUAGGGGUUCUGAGAGGAAGGUCCCCCACAUUGGAACUGAGACACGGUCCAAACUCCUACGGGAGGCAGCAGUGAGGAAUAUUGGUCAAUGGACGAGAGUCUGAACCAGCCAAGUAGCGUGAAGGAUGACUGCCCUAUGGGUUGUAAACUUCUUUUAUACGGGAAUAAAGUGAGGCACGUGUGCCUUUUUGUAUGUACCGUAUGAAUAAGGAUCGGCUAACUCCGUGCCAGCAGCCGCGGUAAUACGGAAGGUCCAGGCGUUAUCCGGAUUUAUUGGGUUUAAAGGGAGCGUAGGCCGCAAGUCAAGCGUGUUGUGAAAUGCAGGGGCUCAACCUCUGGAUUGCAGCGCGAACUGGCAUGCUUGAGUACGCACGAGGUAGGCGGAAUUUGUGGUGUAGCGGUGAAAUGCUUAGAUAUCACGAAGAACUCCGAUUG